AGCAGCCGCGGUAAUUCCAGCUCCAAUAGCGUAUAUUAAAGUUGUUGCAGUUAAAAAGCUCGUAGUUGAAUUUCGGGAUCAAUUUGCUGGUCGUGCCUUCGGUACGCACUGGUAUUAUUGGUUUCUCCUUUCUGAUGAAUCGCGAUGUCAUUAAUUUGGUGUCGUGGGGAAUCAGGACCGUUACUUUGAAAAAAUUAGAGUGUUUAAAGCAGGCUCACGCUUGAAUACAUUAGCAUGGAAUAAUGAAAUAGGACGUUUGAUUCUAUUUUGUUGGUUUCUAGGAUCGACGUAAUGAUUAAUAGGGAUAGUUGGGGGCAUUAGUAUUCAAUUGUCAGAGGUGAAAUUCUUGGAUUUAUUGAAGACUAACUACUGCGAAAGCAUUUGCCAAGGAUGUUUUCAUCAAUCAAGAACGAAAGUUAGGGGAUCGAAGACGAUCAGAUACCGUCGUAGUCUUAACCAUAAACUAUGCCGACUAGGGAUCGGAUGAUGUUAAUUUUUUAACGACUCA
RNAcentral lists this ribosomal RNA (508 nucleotides) under uncultured Glomeromycotina. RNAcentral describes it as "SSU rRNA". It matches the Rfam family "Eukaryotic small subunit ribosomal RNA", at positions 569 to 1078 of the family's 1831-position model. The record is from RNAcentral. Lineage: Eukaryota; Fungi; Glomeromycota.